AUUGAACGCUGGCGGCAGGCCUAACACAUGCAAGUCGAACGGUAACAGGAAACAGCUUGCUGUUUCGCUGACGAGUGGCGGACGGGUGAGUAAUGUCUGGGAAACUGCCCGAUGGAGGGGGAUAACUACUGGAAACGGUAGCUAAUACCGCAUAACGUCGCAAGACCAAAGAGGGGGACCUUCGGGCCUCUUGCCAUCGGAUGUGCUCAGAUGGGAUUAGCUAGUAGGUGGGGUAACGGCUCACCUAGGCGACGAUCCCUAGCUGGUCUGAGAGGAUGACCAGCCACACUGGAACUGAGACACGGUCCAGACUCCUACGGGAGGCAGCAGUGGGGAAUAUUGCACAAUGGGCGCAAGCCUGAUGCAGCCAUGCCGCGUGUAUGAAGAAGGCCUUCGGGUUGUAAAGUACUUUCAGCGGGGAGGAAGGGAGUAAAGUUAAUACCUUUGCUCAUUGACGUACC
Molecule: ribosomal RNA, 461 nt
Filed under: Escherichia coli
Lineage: Bacteria; Pseudomonadati; Pseudomonadota; Gammaproteobacteria; Enterobacterales; Enterobacteriaceae
Description: bacterial SSU rRNA
Rfam family: Bacterial small subunit ribosomal RNA
Source: RNAcentral